Non-coding RNA from Pelobates cultripes (western spadefoot toad), 229 nucleotides. The record is from the annotation of a GenBank genome assembly. NCBI's taxonomy places the organism in Eukaryota, Metazoa, Chordata, Amphibia, Anura, Pelobatidae.
AAUAACUGAAAGGGGAGGAAAGGUGGGUGGGAAGGGUACAGUAGAGAGCAUCUUGUCGUGUGUUAUAAUACUUUUAUUAUAGUGGAAUAUAGUGUAGUAGUGGUAUGGUUGUGGUUGAGUAGUCUUGCAAGGUAUAGUAGGAUAAUAUAGCAUAGUAUCUUGUCUUGUAGUGGUAGGCCUUAUACCAUAUGGAAUACCUUCCCCAGUCUAGUUGCGGGUUUACUUCUUU